GCAUCUUCAUGACACAUACACUAAAAUGGUAACACUACAGAGAAGAUUGGUAUGGCUCCUGUGACGAAUGAGGUGCAAAUUCAUGAAGUGUACCAUGGGUUU
Varanus komodoensis (Komodo dragon) is the source of this 102-nucleotide small nuclear RNA. Lineage: Eukaryota; Metazoa; Chordata; Lepidosauria; Squamata; Varanidae. The record is from Ensembl.